Ruditapes philippinarum (Manila clam) is the source of this 3579-nucleotide long non-coding RNA. RefSeq lists it as uncharacterized. The transcript has 2 exons. Lineage: Eukaryota; Metazoa; Mollusca; Bivalvia; Venerida; Veneridae. The record is from RefSeq and is a predicted model, not a curated record.
CUUUAUAUACCUUUUCGCUCAUCUAUUUUGUUACUGAAGGGAUUGACUUUAGACUUUAAAUUGUUGUCUUUUUCCAUUAGAGCAUAGAAAUGUCUGUUUUGACUUUUAUUGACAUGGUUACAUGCAUAUAAUGUGGUGCAAAAUUUUGAACAUUUGAGUGCUUUCUUAAUACUGAUACAGAAAUAUAUUAAAAUCAUAAUUUAUUAUUUUCUAAUAGUUUCUCUCCCUUUACUGCGUCCGGUAUUUAAUAAGUCGAGCGUGCUGUCUUCUCUGACAGCUCUUGUUUUUUAUGACGGUCAUCCAGUUUCAACCAGUUUUUAAGUCGUUUCAUGCGUGUCAUAAAAAGCUAUAGGUUGACGUUCCACAGUCUUUAAUUAUGCAGAAAAUAUGCUAACAUAAAGACCUGCUUUUCACCAGUUCCAACCAGUUUUUGGGUCGGUUUCAUGCCUGUCAUAAAAAAGCUAUAGGUUGACGUCCCAGAGUCUUUAAUCAUGCAGAAAAUCUGCUAAAAUGACACGUGAUAUUCACGUGAUCUAUUAAACUGCCCGAUUUCAUAGUUUAUACGUAUGAUUUCGCUGAAUCAUACAAACCAUGCUAUUGUUCUCUUGACGGAAGUGCCUGUAAAAGCUGGCAAGUUGGUGUAUAUUUUAACCUAGAAAAAAUGGCGAAGACGGGAUAAAGCAAAUUUGAUGAAAAUCAGCCGUAUAGUCAUUAGAAUCAUUGGACGAGAUACAACUGUUUUGCGCUGAUCACGCGAUAAACUAGUAACACACAGUGCAUUUAUAAAUUAUUCUCUCUUAUUUUAAGUAACUAUGCUGUCACUUGACAUGUUAUAUAAUUACAAUUUAAAUCAAGCACAGCAAAUUAGACACUUGGCAUGUCACACAUUUUCUUUUAGAUUUGUGAUAUUUCCGGGUAAUUAUAAAGUUUCAACCUGGCAAGCGACCUUUUGUAUUAACGGCCCGCCUAUAAAUAAAAGAAGGAUUGCACCCGUUGUAUGGAAACAUCGGCUUGAAAGUUAUAUUCCUGAUAUCAAAGUGGUCAUUGGAAAUAGGCUUACUUGCAUAUUUCCUCAGUUACUCGGAAACGAGACCGCAGAUUGCGGCGAAUAUUUCCGAUCCUGGUUCGGCUUUACAAAUUGCCUGCCCAACCUUUCAAAAUCUGUUCAUAUUAUCCGACAAUGUUGUCUUUAGAAAUAUAUCCUCAAUGUCGUUUAAAAAUCGGUCAAAUUUACAGUAAUUUGAAAAAAGGAACCUUCAGAUUUGACCGAUUUUUAAACUAAUAGAUUAAAAGUAUCUUUUAGGAGGUCGUACACCCAGAUAAUACGAAAAGAGGUCGACAGCAUUAGCCGCAAUAUGUGGUCCCGUUCCCCGAGUCCACUUUACACAAAUUACCUCCCUUGAACUUACAUUUGUUAUGGAAAUGAAUUGCGCAGUGUUGGGCUUUCUGAACUGAUCUGUCAUAAUUUAAAAAAAAAUAUUAUGCACUUACGAAAAGUCUUAAAUUGUAAUUGUUCAUUGCGAUCCAGACUAGAAAAAAAGAAGAUCAUUGAAUAAUGCAAGUAAAACAUUUGCUAUAUAGUCUUAAAUUGUACAGAAGUUUCAAGUUAAUGAAGAUUAAGUAUGUAAAACAAAUCCUAUCAUUCAAGCUUGUCAUCUGGAUUGCUAUUUUGGGAUAAAUUGCGCUGCACACAGGCAAAAAGUAGGCGUAAUGUCGCAAAACUUAACGUACCGUCAUGACACGCUACAUUAGCAGGGGAAGUAACUCGUAUUAUUGCGAAUUCUACUUUUCGUCAAAUUCGUAAUAUAUGUUUAUUAGAAAGCGUCUAGUUGACCGGAACCCAUGUCAUCUGGACGUUUAGUACACUUUAAAUAAGAUCAGAGGGAGUUUGGGAAGGAUAAAAUGAAUAAAAAAUAAUAAAUCAAUCAUGAACUGGCCCUUUCUUGUCUAUAGAUUCCAACACAUUUCUCAAUCUGCAUCAUUACUUUUCUUACAGGUUUGUUAAAUGCAGCAUAUAUGUUUGACGUCCCGGAGGUACAACAGGCGUGUUGGAACUUUGCACUCGGCUGUUUCGUACGGACGGACAACCUCUAUGAUUUACUAUCAUCCGCACAGCGUUAUGCAGAACAUAAAAUGACAAUCGAUCUUAUUAAAACGAUGGAGAAUUACACAAACGAUCACCCGGAAGUACUUCUGCAUAGCCGAUCUCUGGAAAAUCUAGCCGACUUGGUUUUCAGUCAAGCAAAACAGGAAGUGGUGUAACUUGAAAAGCUACAAGUUGGAAAUUUCAAAUAUCGGUAGCAUAUAAACACAUAUGUAAAAUAUGUUCUUUUUUGUUGUGAAAUAAGAAAAGAAAGGAAAUCUUGUCAUCGCAAAACAGCUUCCGGGAUUUUUAAAAUAAUAUUCACCAAGAAGUGUAUGCGAAAAUGGCAGUUUGAAGGUGUAGAAAUUUAUGUUUUGGAAAGUAGGGGAACUUCUUUUUUUGUAUUUCAAUUUUCGUCUUUUUAAGAAGUUCGUUCGAAAUGAAAAAAACUACAUGAGAAACUGUGAUAGUAGAUUGUGAUUAUAGAACAGUAUUGAUAGAUUAAUAGGGCCUAUUUGUGUUUAGCUACAUAAACACAUGUCAGUGUGUUGUCUUGCGUAUUUGUUAUUUUAAUGAUACUAGUACAUAUGCGUAAAUAGAAACCCUAAAGUACACUAUUGAAUUUUAUACAAACAUAUUUUUAUUUGAUCAAUUGUUAAUAUAUAUUUUAAGAUUUAAAUAACUGUAUAUAUUUCAGUGUCUGUCUUUACAAAACGUGUACUAUAUACAUGUAUAUGUAUAAUUUGUUUAAAGGAUCUUUUAUGGUUGUUUUAAUUUUGGUGGAUUUUAACAUGUAAUUGCGUGUUUUUGUAGCAGUUUGGACGAGUUUUGUUAAAUCAACACGUGUUUUCUUGUGGUAUGGAUUAACUCAUUGUAAUUGUUGAAUCAACACGUGUUGUAGUGGUGUGUCAAAACAACACGUGUUAGUUGUACCAAUGAUUUAUCAGAUCAACACGUAUUAGCAAUUAGUACUAGUAUUAGUGUUUUAAAAUAAAAACUUUACGAUUUUUUGCGAUAUGCAACGGCUCCAUAGGGCGUGUUGUAUCAACACGUGUUCUCAUGCAAUAUGAAUACGUUUUAAUAACGUUUUUAUCCACACGUGUUCUGUAACAAUGUGUAGCAGUUCCUCAACUGUGUUGUAACAACACGUGUAGCUAAGAUAAAUGUAGAAUGCUAUAACCAAUAUAGUUACAUAUUUAUCAUUAUCUUUGCCUUGCUUUUAAUAUUUUAAAAUAAUCGUCAUGUAAUAUAAAUAUAUAUAUAAAUAGAUAUUAUGUGUUUUACUGCAGGGGCGUUGCAGAAUGAAUGUUAUAUAUUUUACAUACUUUUUUUAGAAUCUCAUAUGUAUAUAAAUAGAUCAUCAUCAGCGUUGUUGUUACCAUGUUUUAAUAUUAUUGUUUUAAACAUUACAAGAAAAAGAUUCUUGUCUGCAUACAUUUUUAUAUAGCUGUGAUAUUGUUAUAUCUAGAUAAAAAUAGAGAUUAUAAAAACCGAAA